AUUGAACGCUGGCGGCAGGCCUAACACAUGCAAGUCGAACGGUAACAGGAAGCAGCUUGCUUCUUUGCUGACGAGUGGCGGACGGGUGAGUAAUGUCUGGGAAACUGCCUGAUGGAGGGGGAUAACUACUGGAAACGGUAGCUAAUACCGCAUAACGUCGCAAGACCAAAGAGGGGGACCUUCGGGCCUCUUGCCAUCGGAUGUGCCCAGAUGGGAUUAGCUAGUAGGUGGGGUAACGGCUCACCUAGGCGACGAUCCCUAGCUGGUCUGAGAGGAUGACCAGCCACACUGGAACUGAGACACGGUCCAGACUCCUACGGGAGGCAGCAGUGGGGAAUAUUGCACAAUGGGCGCAAGCCUGAUGCAGCCAUGCCGCGUGUAUGAAGAAGGCCUUCGGGUUGUAAAGUACUUUCAGCGGGGAGGAAGGGAGUAAAGUUAAUACCUUUGCUCAUUGACGUUACCCGCAGAAGAAGCACCGGCUAACUCCGUGCCAGCAGCCGCGGUAAUACGGAGGGUGCAAGCGUUAAUCGGAAUUACUGGGCGUAAAGCGCACGCAGGCGGUUUGUUAAGUCAGAUGUGAAAUCCCCGGGCUCAACCUGGGAACUGCAUCUGAUACUGGCAAGCUUGAGUCUCGUAGAGGGGGGUAGAAUUCCAGGUGUAGCGGUGAAAUGCGUAGAGAUCUGGAGGAAUACCGGUGGCGAAGGCGGCCCCCU
Molecule: ribosomal RNA, 713 nt
Filed under: Shigella sp.
Lineage: Bacteria; Pseudomonadati; Pseudomonadota; Gammaproteobacteria; Enterobacterales; Enterobacteriaceae
Description: bacterial SSU rRNA
Rfam family: Bacterial small subunit ribosomal RNA
Source: RNAcentral